AUUUGAGUUUUGGUUUAAAGAGUAAUCGCCUUUGGAUGGGUCUGCGGCGGAUUAGGUAGACGCCGGUGUAACGUACCGGCGUGCCUGUCAUCCGUACGGGUUGUGGGAGCAAGAGCCCGGAGAUGGAUUCUGAGACACGAAUCCAGGCCCUACGGGGCGCAGCAGGCGCGAAAACUCUACAAUGCAGGCAACUGCGAUAGGGGGACAUCGAGUGGCGCUCACUUUGGGCGCCUGUCCCACCGUCUAAAAAACGGUGGUUAGCAAGGGCCGGGUAAGACCGGUGCCAGCCGCCGCGGUAAUACCGGCGGCUCGAGUGGUGGCCGAUAUUAUUGAGUCUAAAGGGUCCGUAGCCGGCUUCGUAAGUCCCCCGGGAAAUCCAGCGGCUUAACCGUUGGGCUUCCGUGGGAUACUGCGUUGCUUGGGACUGGGAGAGGUAGGAGGUACUCGGGGGGUAGGGGUGAAAUCCUGUAAUCCCCUGGGGACCACCGGUGGCGAAGGCGUCCCACCAGAACAGGUCCGACGGUGAGGGACGAAAGCUAGGGGCACGAACCGGAUUAGAUACCCGGGUAGUCCUAGCCGUAAACGAUGCCCGCUAGGUGUCACGGCGGUCGUGAAUCGCCGUGGUGCCGUAGGGAAGCCGCGA
RNAcentral lists this ribosomal RNA (643 nucleotides) under uncultured archaeon. RNAcentral describes it as "bacterial SSU rRNA". It matches the Rfam family "Archaeal small subunit ribosomal RNA", at positions 174 to 817 of the family's 1478-position model. The record is from RNAcentral.